Molecule: long non-coding RNA, 1210 nt
Filed under: Betta splendens (Siamese fighting fish)
Lineage: Eukaryota; Metazoa; Chordata; Actinopteri; Anabantiformes; Osphronemidae
Description: lncRNA (ENSBSLG00000018851.1)
Source: RNAcentral
UUUGUGACAGUAGGUGGAUGUGGUGGUGGCAAAGGUCCUGCACCUCUAACCUCUGACAGUGAACGUGGUUCAGCUUUCUGCUGUUCAGGCCGCUCCAGUCAUUCUUUAUGUUACGCUGCCGCCUCAUGAAAGGACACCGUGAGUUUGUUUGGUGGACUGGAACGGCAUCAAAGCAAAGAACAGAGGCGCGUGUGCCGGGCUGUCGCUGAAGUGAGAACCGCUCCACGGCUGCUUGGUUUGAACAGAUGAAAGGGUUAAUCUCAUUUGACGACAUACAACCGUGAGUAAUGACUCCAAAGCCUCCCACUGCCUUUGCACUGUUUCAUUUGCAACUUUUUCCUGAAGCAUGGCCUUAUUUGUUGUACAGCCUUGGCUGCACUCUGCCUUUCUUGCCUCCAUUGUACUCGCAGCAGCCCGCUGCUUACUGUCUGUGUGUGCCUAGGUAAACACAUUAUGGGAAUAGAAGCUAAUCCAUCACGGGAGUCACGCUGAAAUGUUUCUCCCUCAGGGCUCUGCAGUGCUGUGGUAUCAGGUGGAAAGUUUCCACUUCCUGUCUUUGUCGGCAGGUUCCUGGCCGAAGGGGGCAAUUUCACGAUUGGCCCCCGGUGGAUUGAACAUACGACCCACGGGCGACACUACCUGUUCCACCACUACCCCGGAUGGCGCCACUCCUGGAAGGGGAGGUUUACGCUGUACCCUGAGUGGGAGACGAGAUGAGGGAUGUUUCCAUCUAUCUUUCAAGAAGUAAUGAAGUCAUCAUCCCUGCAAAAGAUGUGUCCUGACCCUGUCGUAUCCUGAUGGUGUGAUGAUGACACUGACCGGAGGACGGAACAGAGAGAGGACGAGUCUGGAACGGAGAUGAACGGAAAAAAAGCAUGGGAAGAAGAAUAAGGAAAAGGUGAAAGGUCGUGACCCCGGUAGGACGCUCUCUCGCUCGCCCUGUGUGAGGCAGUGAGAAAGUCUAAACUCACCCAGUUACACUGAAUACAAUUACAACUCGUCUGAUACAAAGUAAUUAGUGUAAGAAUAGUAAAAUAGUCCAACAACUAAAGAAACAAAGAGAUUUUAAAAUGUAAGCAAGUAACAAUCCACCAAUUAUUUUAUGAGACACCUGAAAACGGUAUUUCAACUUAAAUUCAGGUUCAGAACUGCAGCUCCUCAAGCUUAUUCACAUCACAGCCUCAGCACUGGAACCCAAACUGAAGUCGCA